UGUUUUUGACAGAUUUAAGGAAUGAUAUUCCUUAUACUUUUUACAAUGUCAACCCUCAAAAUAAUUACCAUUGCAUUCCCAAAUCUUGAUCCUAUUGUUACAUUGAUACUCCUAUGCCUCUUUGGUGGGGUUGUGGUUUGGUUCGGGACCUGGGAUAUAGGCUAGAUAGUCAGUAAGGAAUCGAUGUAAUUUGCUUUAACCAUUUAAACCGUCAAGUUCUUCAUUUUUUCUCUCCGCAUGGAGGUGAGGGAUUAUAUUCUCUUGUUUAUGUUAUUAAUAAAAAAUGUCAUGAUGUGUGGUUUAAAAUGAAAAUGUGUUCCCCUCAUGGUCACCCCUCCCAUUAAUUAUCAAAUUGCAACCGUUUUUCAUUUUACAGUGGAAUACACACAUUGUCAUCCUUGAGCAAUGAUCAAGGCAAGUAUAUAAGAAUCCAGGAAAUAUUUCUCUCCAAUGAAGUGCCAUCCGCCAUCCUUGUAUUGUGUGUAUAUAUACACCACACGAGAUCAAGUUUCCCAGCCUUUGUUUCUAGGGCCGGUUCGGUGAUUGUCGAGGCCCGAGACGAAAUCCAUAAAUUAGGCCCCUAAAAUCAAUGUAAAUACAAAAUUCAACGAUGUAUUAUGCAACUUAUUGUUAACUUAAAACUUCACAUUAAAAUAACAAAUAGACUUUUUAUACAAAAGAUUUAUAUUAUAAAAUAACAAAACCAACAAUGUUUCAAACAGUUAGUUAAAUACUACUCACUUUUAAUUACAUUAAGCUUGUAAACCUGAUAAAGCUGUGUAAUCAAAUCAUCAAUCCUAAAAUUUCAUUUCUUUUGCUAAUCAAUCUCAGUUCAUGGUUUUUGAUUUGGUCAGUUUUUAAUGUCAAAUUACAAGGAAAAGCCAUAAAAUAGGAGACAAAGCAGGAAAUUUCAAAUCAGUUACUAAAACCUACUGCAAAAAAUAAAGGUAUUUAUAAAUUGUAGUUGAAAUAUCAACUCCUAACAAUUAGUACCUAAUCCUGCUAGCACUACCAGCUAGAAGAUCAUCAAAAGGAUGAAAAAGAAAAACUCUCCGAGGCCCUAAGUUUGCCAAUCUCUCAACCCCAUGUUAUUUAAAUACCAUAAGUCCACCCGAGUCUAACCAAUUCAUAAACCCAUAAUUAUAAUUACAAAAUGAGCUCCUAAGAAGCUCAGAAACUAGGUUUCAUAUUAGAUUUUCAAUCCCACUCAUGGUCAGUCUCCAUGGAAAAUAAUGAUGGGUGAAUCUCUGUACAAUGAAACCUAACCCCUCCACUUCCUUCUGCGCUCUCUAAUUAAAAAUGAAAUCCAAGCUUCAUUACAUUACAACGCAAAAUCAAUGAUCCCAAAAUGAUCAGUUUCCUACAACCAUCUAGAACUGAAAAUUUUCACCUCGAAAUGAAGCUAUUAUUCUGAAAAUAAGCAAUAACAACCUUCCAAGCGGAAAAUACGACAAACUCAGAUCCCUAAAACAGAAAAACUUCCACACUUAGUCAACAAUAGUUGAGAACAGGCCAAUUUAACAUGCAGAGAAACACAAUUAAAAAAGAAAAUGAAAGAGACAACAGUGUAUAAAAAGCUCCUUUGAAGGCAUACGUGGAGAAUCUUCCACUUCACAUAAGAGGAGGAAGAGAAGCUGCCUAGGGAAAUGAGGUCGUGGCCUAGUCGCCGUCCUGUUGGAGUUGUUGGAGGCGGCGAGCAGUCGCCAGUCGCAGGACAAACCCGAGGGGAUAAACGAAUGGAAAUCCCUUUUUCCCUUUUACAUCAUUUAAAAAAAGGGGCCAAAAUGAGGCC
Molecule: long non-coding RNA, 1792 nt
Filed under: Olea europaea subsp. europaea
Lineage: Eukaryota; Viridiplantae; Streptophyta; Magnoliopsida; Lamiales; Oleaceae
Source: RNAcentral